AAAUUGGCGGGGUGCUAUACAUGCAGUCGAGCGACAGAUGAGAAGCUUGCUUCUCUGAUGUUAGCGGCGGACGGGUGAGUAACACGUGGGUAACCUACCUAUAAGACUGGGAUAACUCCGGGAAACCGGGGCUAAUACCGGAUAAUAUUUUGAACCGCAUGGUUCAAUAGUGAAAGACGGUUUCGGCUGUCACUUAUAGAUGGACCCGCGCCGUAUUAGCUAGUUGGUAAGGUAACGGCUUACCAAGGCGACGAUACGUAGCCGACCUGAGAGGGUGAUCGGCCACACUGGAACUGAGACACGGUCCAGACUCCUACGGGAGGCAGCAGUAGGGAAUCUUCCGCAAUGGGCGAAAGCCUGACGGAGCAACGCCGCGUGAGUGAUGAAGGUCUUCGGAUCGUAAAACUCUGUUGUUAGGGAAGAACAAAUUUGUUAGUAACUGAACAAGUCUUGACGGUACCUAACCAGAAAGCCACGGCUAACUACGUGCCAGCAGCGGGCGGUAAU
This 507-nucleotide ribosomal RNA is filed under the name Mammaliicoccus sciuri. RNAcentral's name for it is "bacterial SSU rRNA". It matches the Rfam family "Bacterial small subunit ribosomal RNA", at positions 37 to 524 of the family's 1533-position model. The record is from RNAcentral. Lineage: Bacteria; Bacillati; Bacillota; Bacilli; Caryophanales; Staphylococcaceae.